UCACCUCCUUUUUAGGGAGACCUACCCAACUUUCAGAUCGAAAGCGAGCGUGCAAAUAGAUCGAAAGAUGGUCAUUCCUAGGUCGGUCGCAGGUGCUUGUUGAGAGCUUUCAAACUAUGAUUUGGUUCAAAAUGGGCUAUUAGCUCAGGUGGUUAGAGCGCACCCCUGAUAAGGGUGAGGUCCCUGGUUCGAGUCCAGGAUGGCCCACCUGAACAAGGUAGCCGAACCGGAAGGUGAGUUAAGAGUCAAAAAACUGAUUUGAAAUUGGAAUUUGAAAUUGAAUUGUGUUGGGUGUUUAAGUAGAUGCUGAGCGCCUGCUUUGCUAGGUCGGUCGAGCGGUUCGAGUGCCGCUAACCUCCACCGGUUCCGUUGAGAAUUUCUUGAAAAAAAGGUAAAAAUUCAGCAACAUGGUGAGAGCCAGACUGCUGGGUUAAGACUCAGCCAGAACCUUGAAAACUGCAUAGGAAUGCGAAAAAAGCAGGCAGUCAAAAAAGUCAAACAUUGAAAAGUCAAAAGGCAAAAAAGCCAAAGACAACAAAUGAAAGACUUGAGACAGCAAAAGCGAGGCGAAUUGAUUAGUGGUCAAGCUAUAAAG
Molecule: transfer RNA, 595 nt
Filed under: Desmonostoc caucasicum MZ-C154
Lineage: Bacteria; Bacillati; Cyanobacteriota; Cyanophyceae; Nostocales; Nostocaceae
Description: partial contains 16S ribosomal RNA and 16S-23S ribosomal RNA intergenic spacer
Rfam family: tRNA (bases 134-207)
Source: RNAcentral